RNAcentral lists this ribosomal RNA (497 nucleotides) under uncultured bacterium. Its description in RNAcentral is "partial 16S ribosomal RNA". It matches the Rfam family "Bacterial small subunit ribosomal RNA", at positions 28 to 507 of the family's 1533-position model. The record is from RNAcentral.
GACGAACGCUGGCGGCGUGCCUAAUACAUGCAAGUUGAGCGCUGAAGGUUGGUACUUGUACCAACUGGAUGAGCAGCGAACGGGUGAGUAACGCGUGGGGAAUCUGCCUUUGAGCGGGGGACAACAUUUGGAAACGAAUGCUAAUACCGCAUAAAAACUUUAAACACAAGUUUUAAGUUUGAAAGAUGCAAUUGCAUCACUCAAAGAUGAUCCCGCGUUGUAUUAGCUAGUUGGUGAGGUAAAGGCUCACCAAGGCGAUGAUACAUAGCCGACCUGAGAGGGUGAUCGGCCACAUUGGGACUGAGACACGGCCCAAACUCCUACGGGAGGCAGCAGUAGGGAAUCUUCGGCAAUGGACGAAAGUCUGACUGAGCAACGCCGCGUGAGUGAAGAAGGUUUUCGGAUCGUAAAACUCUGUUGGUAGUGAAGAACGUUGGUGAGAGUGGAAAGCUCAUCAAGUGACGGUAACUACCCAGAAAGGGACGGCUAACUACGUG